CCUACGGGUGGCAGCAGUGAGGAAUAUUGGUCAAUGGACGAGAGUCUGAACCAGCCAAGUAGCGUGAAGGAUGACUGCCCUAUGGGUUGUAAACUUCUUUUAUAUGGGAAUAAAAUGUUCCACGUGUGGGAUUUUGUAUGUACCAUCUGAAUAAGGAUCGGCUAACUCCGUUCCAGCAGCCGCGGUAAUACGGAGGAUCCGAGCGUUAUCCGGAUUUAUUGGGUUUAAAGGGAGCGUAGGUGGAUUGUUAAGUCAGUUGUGAAAGUUUGCGGCUCAACCGUAAAAUUGCAGUUGAAACUGGCAGUCUUGAGUACAGUAGAGGUGGGCGGAAUUCGUGGUGUAGCGGUGAAAUGCUUAGAUAUCACGAAGAACUCCGAUUGCGAAGGCAGUUCACUGGACUGCAACUGACACUGAGGCUCGAAAGUGUGGGUAUCAAACAGGAUUAGAUACCCGAGUAGUC
Molecule: ribosomal RNA, 460 nt
Filed under: uncultured bacterium
Lineage: Bacteria
Description: partial 16S ribosomal RNA
Rfam family: Bacterial small subunit ribosomal RNA
Source: RNAcentral